UACGGGGGGGGGAAGCGUUGUUCGGAAUUACUGGGCGUAAAGCGUGCGUAGGCGGUUCUCCAAGUCCGUUGUGAAAGCCCCGGGCUCAACCUGGGAAUGGCAGUGGAAACUAGUCGACUAGAAUCUGGCAGAGGGGAGUGGAAUUCCACGUGUAGCAGUGAAAUGCGUAGAUAUCGGGAGGAACAUCAGUGGCGAAGGCGGCCUUCUGGUCCAGUACUGACACUCAAGUGCGAAAGCGUGGGGAGCAAACAGG
Molecule: ribosomal RNA, 253 nt
Filed under: uncultured bacterium
Lineage: Bacteria
Description: partial 16S ribosomal RNA
Rfam family: Bacterial small subunit ribosomal RNA
Source: RNAcentral